AAGUAUAGAGGUCCAGCCUGCCCAGUGAACCCAUUUUAACGGCCGCGGUAUCCUAACCGUGCAAAGGUAGCGUAAUCACUUGUCCCCUAAUUAGUGACCAGUAUGAACGGCCACAUGAGGGCCCAACUGUCUCUUACAACCCAUCAAUGAAACUGAACUUUCAGUUAAAAAGCUGAAAUAAUAACAUAAGACGAGAAGACCCCGCGGAACUUUAAACAAGCCGCUACAGCACACCAGACACAGCUUACAAACCCAAUGCUGCUAACACACCAAAUAGCUAGGCCUGCACUUUUAGUUGGGGCGACUACGGAGCGAAAUGAAACCUCCACUACCAGGACUAACCAUCCACUUAAGGCCAACAAGCCAAAAGCAAGCACCACCACACGACCCAGUACAACUGAGCAACGAACCAAGCUACCCCGGGGAUAACAGCGCCAUCCUCUCCAAGAGUCCCUAUCGACGAGCGGGUUUACGACCUCGAUGUUGGAUCAGGGCCCCCAGGCGGUGCAGCCGCUGCCAACGGUUCGUUUGUUCAAC
RNAcentral lists this ribosomal RNA (537 nucleotides) under Paroedura masobe. Its description in RNAcentral is "partial 16S ribosomal RNA". It matches the Rfam family "Bacterial large subunit ribosomal RNA", at positions 1841 to 2585 of the family's 2925-position model. Lineage: Eukaryota; Metazoa; Chordata; Lepidosauria; Squamata; Gekkonidae. The record is from RNAcentral.